Molecule: long non-coding RNA, 2038 nt
Organism: Zingiber officinale
Lineage: Eukaryota; Viridiplantae; Streptophyta; Magnoliopsida; Zingiberales; Zingiberaceae
Exons: 4
Source: RefSeq, a predicted model, not a curated record
ACGACUCCCUCUUCAUCAAAGUUUUUCUGUCGCGAGCCUUACUCCCUCUUCGCCGAAACCCUUCCUCUCUACCAAAACCUUUCGCGCUCCACCUCCCUCUCUGCCUCCGUGCUCUUCCUCCCUCUCUACCUCCAUGCUUCGCCUUCAUCUCUGUCGUACUCUGCCUUCCUUGCUUCACUCAUCAUUGCCCAAAUUCGCCGUAGGAUAGCUACACCCUCGCACUCCACAAGGCCCUUAUGUUCUUCAAUGCCUAGCGAUGCGAGUCCUCAUAGAUGACCUCUUCGGGAAAAAAGGUUUUGACGGUAUAAAAAAUGUUCCUUUGCCCCUGAUUUCUUUUGUAGCAAGGUCGAUUCCCAAACACAACAAUGUAUUGUGGAGGGGGACCUUCGGCUUGAGGGAUGGCUUCUCCAAUCAUUCGUAUGGGAAGAGUCUCAUCCGUGGAUUCUACGAUGACAGUGACGCCAUCCAAGGUCGGACCUUUUAUGAGGCAGAGGACAUGGAGGAUGUGGCUAAGGCAGUGGCGAAGUUCUCAACCAGAGGUGGUGGGCGAGCAUGCUAAGCAAACAGAGAAACCAGGGGAAAAUGCCGAAGACGGAGGAGAAGAAAGAAAUGUUAGAGUUUAACAAGAGGCAUGUGGAGGGGAGGAACAAGACCGAUAAACAGAAGAACUUUCAACUAAAGAUCCAGAAAUUGAAUCCUGUUAACACAAUUUGCUACGUUCAGAUCUUUGGAAUUGACAUGGACACACAAGAUACUUUGCCAUCAGUUUUGUUGUUUUUUGACUGACAAAGGUUCAUCUUCAAUGCUGUGGAGGUGAUAAUGAUAACAAUUAAAAAAGGAUACUUCUACUUAGAAGGUAAAAGGAAUUUUAUAACUAAAAAUUUGCUCAUAUAAUCACUAUGUUGUUGUAUUUCUAAUUAGUCUACUUCUACUUAGUAGGUAAAAGGAAUUUUAUACUUCUACUUAGUCUUGUUAUAUUUCUAAUUUCUGUGAUUCUAUACUUGUGUAUUAUGGAAUAGCUAUGUUGUUGCUUUAUUUCCAUUUCCUACCAUGACUACAAAUAGAGGUAAGUAAAUUUAGGAGAGGGCAAAUUAAAAGAAUAAAAGCAUACAGUUUUAACUUUUUAACAUAUCUGAACUUUGGAAGCAUUCAAGAAAGUGAUUAAGAAAAAAUGGUUGAUGAUUAAAUGAGAUUAAGAAAGUUGUUUGUGCUUAGGAGUUAGAAAGAGUAUGAAACUUGAGAGGUGAGCAGAGGUCAAGGGCGUGCCUACUUAGGUGGGAAGGAGUUAAAGUAUUGGAGAGAGAGGGAAAGCAAUUAAAUUUCCUUAUCUAUUAGGUUGAAGAAGAAAAAGUAAGAAGGAAUGGAGCAACUUGGAUCUCCUUUCCCUAUUUCUGUUUCUAUCCAAAAGUAGAUAGAAGGGGAAAUUUGCUAAGAAAGGUAGGCAACUCUUUUUCAUGCUUCCUGCAUGUAUUCUUAGUUUUAGUUUCGACUCAUAGGAAUACUAUCUGAGAGUUCUUAUGGAGAAGGUGGAUUGAUAAAUCUGGUGUAGAAAUUUGCUAAUCCUCAUUCUCUUUCCAUUGCAUUUUGUUCUUUUUUCUUGCAUUAUACUUUUGUUGUCUAUAUAUUUAUAAUACUUAGUAAUUGUUUCUUGUUUAUGUUUAUGUUUUUCUUGCUCAUGUUAAUAUCUUACCUGUCUUUCUUUGCAAUUGGGGGCAUCAAGCCGAUCAGACUUUAAUUGUAAAAGAACGGAAGGACUAGUCUUAUGAAUGUUAGCUUGUGAGAACCGAGUGGUCUAUUAAUGUUGGGACUAUUUUAUGCAUUCCAAUGCAAGAGAGUUAGAAGAAUCAACACAAUAAUCAGAAAUCAAUGUGGACUUUGAACUACUUACACUACUUCAGAGAGGCAUAAAAGGAGAGGAAAGGCUUGCUGCUCAUAAUUUAUUUAUCUUAUCAACUUGUAACACAAUUAUUUUUAUUGGAAAGAAAAAUUAUAUGACAUUUAUUUAUUUUAUUUUUAUAUGCCUGUAAUACACUUAUUC